RNAcentral lists this ribosomal RNA (154 nucleotides) under Erysiphe aphananthes. Its description in RNAcentral is "5.8S ribosomal RNA". It matches the Rfam family "5.8S ribosomal RNA". Rfam says of the family: 5.8S ribosomal RNA (5.8S rRNA) is a component of the large subunit of the eukaryotic ribosome. It is transcribed by RNA polymerase I as part of the 45S precursor that also contains 18S and 28S rRNA. The record is from RNAcentral. Lineage: Eukaryota; Fungi; Ascomycota; Leotiomycetes; Helotiales; Erysiphaceae.
AAACUUUCAACAACGGAUCUCUUGGCUCUGGCAUCGAUGAAGAACGCAGCGAAAUGCGAUAAGUAAUGUGAAUUGCAGAAUCUUGUGAAUCAUCGAAUCUUUGAACGCACAUUGCGCCCCUUGGUAUUCCGAGGGGCAUGCCUGUUCGAGCGUC